CCUUGCCGUUUGCAGGACCUUGGUGCGCCCUUCGUGCAAAGCCUGGGCGCGUUCCCACGUGCAAAGCCUGCGUUAGGGAGGAGCAGCCGCGCCCCCUCCCCAAAUAAUAGCUUCGGGGGCGGAUCGCUCGUUCUGUGUCUGUGUGUGUCCCCCCCACCCACACCAGCCACGUGAUGGAGCAGCAGCCCAACAUGGCGCAGUCCUCCUAGGCCGCUCCAUCCCAGCCCGGCGGGGAGGCCAUCUGGCCUUGCAGAGCAUCCCGGAGACCGGCAGCGCAAUUCACCCGCCAUGGUGAAGAUCUUUGUGGGGGGCCUGUCUCCCGUGGUGACGGCCGAGGAGCUGAGGAAGCUCUUUGAGCAGUACGGGCAGGUGAACGAGUGCGACAUCCUCAAGAACUUUGCCUUUGUGCACAUGGAGAAGGAGGAUGAGGCCCACCAGGCCAUCAGCGCCCUGCACAAGAGCGAGUUCUACGGGGCCCACCUGACGGUGGAAUACGCCACCUCCAAGAUCCGAAACGCCACCAAGAUUUACGUGGGGAACGUCUCCGCCAAGGCCACCACCUCCCAGAUCCGCCAGCUCUUUGAGAGGUUCGGCAAAGUGGUGGAGUGCGACAUUGUCAAGAACUACGCCUUCGUCCACAUGGCCAAGGAGAGGGAGGCCAUGGACGCCAUCUUGAACCUCAACGACACCCCUUUGGAGGACCAGAAAAUCUUCGUCACCCUUUCCAAGAGCAACAGCUCCCUGCGGGCUGCUAAGGGGGCGGCGGCAGCAGCAGCAGCAGCGGUGCCCACCCCGCCUCCCCCGUCCCCAAGCUACUACUUCUCCAGGGGGCGGCUGCCACCCCCGCCCCCGGCCUACACCCCCUACUGCCCCCGGGCGUGGUACGACAGGGAGUACUGCGACCGCUACUCGUACGAGCUCUACGACCGGGCCCGGGCCGCCUACGACCGGGCCUUGCCUCCUCCCCCUGCCGCCUAUAGGGAAAGGAGCCCCGUGGGCAGGCGGACAGCUGCCUCCACCGCCGUCGUGGCCCAGUACGCUGACCCCUACGCGGCUGCAGCUGCUGCGGCUGCCGCGGCUGCCGCCGCCGCCACCGCCAACCAGACCUACAACCCGGCCUACAGCCAGCCAGGGUACGCAGCCGCUGCUGCCGCUGCUGCCACAUACUCCCAGUACAGCAUAGGAACCGCCUACAACGUGGCGGAGUACUACGAGAGGUACGCCAGCGCAUACGCCGCCCAGUAUGCGCAGACCUUCUGAGCACGGUGUGCCUUUUCCGGCAGCAUCGCCACCGCAGUGUCUGUGAGGCCCUUUGCUGAUCACACGCUGACUUUUUACUCCAGCUUCCUUCCAAGCUGCUUCUGGAAGGCGACCUCGGGCAGGCAGAGCUGACCCGAAGCGACUCAGCGCCACCAGCCAGCCGAGAAGAAGGCGAAACUCCUGCAAGCGAACCUUCGGCCUCUUGCACUCGUAGCGUAGGCACUGGGAAGGAAUGGGGUGUUUGGGCAGGGGUGAGCGAGGGGCCUGGGAAGGGGGGGUUGUCUGGGUUAGGGUACUACCGUAAGAUGCUUUCCCCUCGCCUUCCUCCCCCCAGGCGGAAAGACCACUCAAGAGGAGGGUACGGGCGUGAUCUGCCCCUGGGCUGGGGUGCCCGGUCUGGUUCUUUCUGCGGAGAGACAGCUGGGGUUAUCUGGGUUAGGAGAGACAGCCAGGCUCAGACACAGCCUUCCUGUCCUUGGGUUCCCAUUUGCUCUGCCCAAAAGGGUUGGUUUUGUCUCUCUGAAAGGUAAGCAGAAGGACGGAGCCUCCGAGGUGUAAAGAAAAUAGUCCCCUUGCUGCCUGGUCCCACUCGUUUGUUUUAGGCCCCUCUUUGUCCUGCUGUCAGCUGACGGAUCCCCCGACAGCAGAGCCAGAUCUGAACUCGGGACCUCAUGAUGUGGGGAAGCCUGUGAGGUAAGCAAGCUCUUUCUCCACCCCACCCCCUGGCUGGGGCUGAGGGAGGGGUGGUGCUUUGCGGAGCCAAGGGGGGGGGGAGAAGCUCUUGCAGGAGAAGCCUUCAGCUCCAAACUCCCCACUCCACUACCUUGAACGUGACCUUUCUUCGGUGUCCUCUGGGUGUGGCUUCUGGGGACCCUCAAUCAUCAGAAGCUGAGGCAAGAGACAGAUGUCUGUGGAGCCCUUGGGGGAUACCUCCAUCCCCAUCUCCUCCUCACAAAGCAAUACAGUCGUCUCUCGGAAGUCGAACAGAAUCCAUUCAGAGGUCCAUUCAACUUCCAAAACGUUCAGAAACCAAAUCACAGCUUCUGACUGGCUGCAGGAAGCUCCUGCAGCCACUCGGAAGCCCUGCCGGACAUUCGGGUUCCCAAAGAAUGUAUGCAAACCGGAACAACCACUUUCCGGGUUUGCAGCAUUCGGGAGCCAAAAUAUCCAAGUUCCAGGGCAUUCAACAACCAAGAUCUGACUGUACUUGUGCCCCCGACUCCUGCUUUCCCUCCUCCCCGGGUUCUCCCUUAUCCUCCAAGUGGGGCCAUGAGCUUCACCCUUUGAGCUGUGGUAUGGCAAGAGGUGAGUUUGCACCUCCCUGGCUUGGCUGGGGCUUGUAGGACGCAGAAUCACAACCCGCCAUGAUUGUGUGGGUUUCACUUCCUGUCAUGAACUCUUUUCUGUGCGACAAUAAAAGCAGGUUGGCACAAGGACCCUUUGGCACAAGGACCCCCAAAGAGACGGCUUUUCAUCCAUGUGGCCCUCGCUCCCCAGCUCUGGCCACUUGGCACAGGAUCGUGCUGGAGUUGGGACUCCAGCCGGCAGCGCUGCCUAAUGGUCAGAGAUCCCUGGAGUUGGCCAGGUACGGAGAGCUCCCACAGGUGCUUUGAGGGAAGAGGAAGCAGGACAAAGGGGGGGACCUGAGAGGGAAAGAAGCAGGAGUUUUCCCUAGUGGUUGCUGUCUCUGCUGCCGCACGGUCUUCCCACACGUAGCAGCAGUGUAGGGGGGAAUAAAGCAGAUAGAGAAAAGUUUUUAUCCCUCCCUUGGAAGUCAUGGGCAUCCACAGCAGCUGGAUGUUGGAAGAUUGAGGGCAAGGUCCUUCACGCAGCACACAGUUAAACUGUGGAACUCCCUUCCACAGGAGGCAGUGAUGACCACCAGCUUGGAUGGCUUUAAAAGGGAAUUGGACAAAUUCAUAGAGGAGGAGGAGGCUGCUACAAGCCAUGAGCGCCAUUACCCUGCCUCCUGGGAGGCAGCAAUGCUUCUGAAUACCAGUUGCUGGAAACCACAGGAGGGGAGAAUUGCUCUUGUACUCAUGCCCUGUUUGUGGGUUUCCCGGUGGAGGCACCUGGCUGGCCACUGUGAGAACAGGAUGCUGGACCAGGUGGGCCCUCCUCGGCCUGACUCAGCAGGCUCUUACUCCAUUCCUUAGGAGAAAACGCUUGUAAUGCGUAACUCCCAGUGGUUGCUAUAAGGAAGCUGCUGCAGCGUGAAAACCCAACCUGCCAGGGGGAGGGGCAGAGCGGAGGAGGCAGGUGAGCAGGGAUUGGGUGGAGCAAGUGAGCUCCCUGCUGGCUAUGUGAAAUGUGAGAUGCUCCCACAGCUGGUCUUCUCCAUCCUCCAGACAUCACCAGAGUUCAGGAAUGCAUCCCAGCCAAGAAAUGAAACGUUGGAGCAGGGCUUAGGGAUAACCUUGAGGGUUAGAUUGGGGCCUGGAGGGCCACUUUUGACUCCUGAGCUAUUUGUAGGCCCUGGGGAGUGGGGCUUGAGACCUCAUGGAGCACCAAGGAACAUCACGAGUGCCUGAGAAAUUAAAACAGCUUUUAAAAAUGG
This is an RNA transcript of Podarcis raffonei (Aeolian wall lizard), 3817 nucleotides long. It is a transcript of the gene named RNA-binding protein 4-like, with no coding region annotated. The transcript is spliced from 5 exons. The record is from RefSeq and is a predicted model, not a curated record. Lineage: Eukaryota; Metazoa; Chordata; Lepidosauria; Squamata; Lacertidae.